Molecule: long non-coding RNA, 2992 nt
Organism: Cervus elaphus (red deer)
Lineage: Eukaryota; Metazoa; Chordata; Mammalia; Artiodactyla; Cervidae
Exons: 4
Source: RefSeq, a predicted model, not a curated record
CACAGAGCUGGUGCUACAAGUAAGUUACCUUUUUGUUGACCCCAUCCAGGUUUUCAGAAAGUUACCCGAUGCUUUGUUUGGUACUCAUUCAAGUGUACCGCACAGACGAAAUCUCUCAGGGCCGAGCUCUCCAGCCCUAAGAAACAUGACAGUCACCCAGCGGACGUGUUACACGCGCAAAUUCCUGGCUCGACUCCAGAGAUUCUCGGAGUGUCUGGGGCAGGGGCGCAGGCAUCUGCGUGACUCCGAAGUACCCUAGUGGUCGUUUCUGGCAAGAGUGUUUAUUAACGGCCUGGCAGGUGCCAGGUCCUGCACUAGGCACAGAGAUAAAACAGUGAACGACAGAUCUGAUCGUGCCCCCAUGGAGUUUACAUUCUAACAAAGGAAAACAGACCACGGCAUAACUACUGGUUGUGGUGUCAACUGCCAUUCUCUGCUUCUCCCUGCAUAUUCCUGUGGUUCAAAACACUCCCCUAAUCCAAGACUGAAAUUGAGAAAACAAUUCCAUUUACAAGAGUAUCAAAAAGAAAAACUACUUAAGAAUAAAUUUAACCAAGGACAUCUAGCACAUGUACACUGAAAAAAACAGAACACUGAAAUUAAAGAAGAUCCAAUUAAAUGGAAAGACAUUCUGUGUUCAUGAGUUGGAAUAUUUAAUAUUGUUAAGAUGGUAAAACUGCCCAGAUGAAUAUGCAGAUUCAGUGCAAUCCCUAUCAAAUCCUCUUUGCAGAAAUGGGAAAGUUCAGCCUAAAAUUCAAAAUGAAAAUGCUAGAGGCCUUGAAUAGCCAAAACUACUUCUUUGUUCUUUGAAAAGAGGAACAAAGUUGGAAGAUUCGCACUUCCUGAUUUCAAAACUCACUACAAAUUUACAGUAUCCAAAACAAUGUGGUACUGACAAAAAGGCAGACCUAUAGAUCGAUGGGAGAAAAUUGAAAGUCCAGAAAUAAACCUAUGCAUCUGUGGUCUGCUGAUUUCUCACAGGGUUUCUAUGACCAUUGAAUGGAAGAAAGAAUAGACUUUUCAACAAAUGGGACCAGAACAACUGGAUAUCCACAUGCAAAAGAAUGAAUCCAGAUGUCUACCUCACACCAUAUACAGAAAUUAACUUAAAAUGUAUCAAUGAACUAAAUAGAAAUCUCUCAAGGGAAAAUAGGUAUACAUUUUCAUGACAUUAGAUUAGGCAAUGGUUUCUUAAAUAUGACCCCAAAAGCAAAAACAACAAAAUAAAAAUAAAGUGCACUUUAUAAAAAUUAAAAACUUUCAUGCAUCAAAGGACAUUAUCAAGAAAGUGAAAAGACAAUCCACAGAAUGGGAGAGAUACUUGAAAAUCACAUAUCUGGUAAGGAUCUAGUAUCUAGAAUGUAAAAAGAAUUCCUAUAAUUGGAUACCAAAAAGAUAAGCAACACAAUUUAAAAAAAGGGCACAGGAAUUUGAAUAAACAUUUCUCCCAAGAGGAUAUGUAUAUGACCAAUAAACAUGUGAAAAGAUUCUCAACAUCAGUAGUCAUUAGGGAAAUGCAAAUCAAAGCCACAGUGAGCUAUCACUUCAUAUCCACUGGCAUGGCAAUAAUAAUUACAAAAACAGUAACAGCAGUCAAGUAAGUGUUGGUGGGGACAUUGAGAAAUUGGAACUGUCACACACGGUGGGGAUGUAAAUGGUGCUGUGCGUGUGUGUUGAGUCACUCAGUCAUGUCCGACUCUGCGACCCUAUGGACUGUAGCCCACUGGACUCCUCUGUCCAUGGGAUUCUCCAGGCAAGAAUACUGGAGUGGGUUGCCAUUCCCUUCUCCAGGGGAAUCUUUCCAACCCAGGGACUGAACCCGGGUCUCCUGCAUUGCAGGCGGAUUCCUUACUGUCUGAGCCACUAGGGAAGCCCAAAAUGGUGCUGCCAUUGUGGAAAUUAUUUUGGUAGCACCUUAAGAAGUUAAACACAGAGUUACCAUAUGGCCCAGCAACUCCACUGCUAAGUAUAUGUUCACAGUAAAACACGAAUACAAAUAUUCACAGCAGCAUUAUUCAUAAAGUCAAAAUUAAAAACAGCCCAAACAUCCAUGACUGGAUGAAUGGAAUAAAGCCAAUGUCAUAUAUCUACAAAAUGGAAUACUAACAACUAUCAAUAGGUAUGGAAUACUGAUACAUGUUGCAACAUGGAUGAGUCUGGAAAACAUGCCAAGUGAAAGAAGCCAGAUACAAAAGACCAUGUUUUGUAUAAUCCUAUUUAUGUGAAAUCUCUAGAACAAGUCUAUACAAAAGUCUAUACAGACAGAAAGUAAAUUAAUGAUUACCUAGCACUGUGGGAGGGGAGAAUUGGGAGUGACAGCUCAUGGGUGUGGAGUUCUUUUUGGCUGAUGGAAAUGAGCUGAAAUUAUACAGUGGUGACGGCUGCACAACAUGAAUGUACUAAAACCUCUCAAAUCGCACACUUUAAAAUGGCUGAAAGAGGCACAAACUUCCAGUCACACGUAUGAAAUGUACAGUGUGAGGGAUAUAGUCAAUAGUUAUGUAAUAUCUUUGUAUGGAGACAGAUGGUAGCUAGACCUGCCGUGGUCAUUUUGUAGAGAAAUACUGAAUUGCUAUGUUGUGUAAUAGGAACUAACACAGUGUUGUAGGUUAAUUAUACUUCAAAAACAAACUCAAAGAAAAAAAAGACCAAAUUGGUGGUUACCAGAGGCAGGGAUGGAGGUAGUCAAAAGGUACAAAAUUCCACUUGUAAGAUAAAAAAGUACUAGGGCUGUAAGGUACAACAUGAUUAAUAUAAUUAACACCAUUGUAUGUCCCAUAUGAAAGCUGCUAUUAAAGAGUAAAUCCUGAGUUCUCAUCAUAAGGAUAAAUUCUUUUUCUACUUCUUUUUUAAUUUAUAUGCAGUGAUGGAUGUUCACUAAAUUUAUUGUGGGAAUCAUUCCAUGAUGUAUAUAAGUCAAAUCGUUAUGCUGUACAUCUUAAGCUUCUGUCAAUUAUAUCUCAGUGACACUGGAAAGAAAAAAAUAAAAUAG